RNAcentral lists this ribosomal RNA (253 nucleotides) under uncultured bacterium. RNAcentral's name for it is "partial 16S ribosomal RNA". It matches the Rfam family "Bacterial small subunit ribosomal RNA", at positions 524 to 776 of the family's 1533-position model. The record is from RNAcentral.
UACAGAGGGGGCGAGCGUUGUUCGGAAUUACUGGGCGUAAAGGGCGCGUAGGCGGCCCGCUAAGUCGAACGUGAAAUCCCCAGGCUCAACCUGGGAACUGCGUCCGAUACCGGCAGGCUUGAAUCCGGGAGAGGGAUGUGGAAUUCCAGGUGUAGCGGUGAAAUGCGUAGAUAUCUGGAGGAACACCGGUGGCGAAGGCGGCAUCCUGGGCCGGUAUUGACGCUGAGGCGCGAAAGCUAGGGGAGCAAACGGG